GACGAACGCUGGCGGCGUGCUUAACACAUGCAAGUCGAACGGAAAGGCCCUGCUUUUGUGGGGUGCUCGAGUGGCGAACGGGUGAGUAACACGUGAGUAACCUGCCCUUGACUUUGGGAUAACUUCAGGAAACUGGGGCUAAUACCGGAUAGGAGCUCCUGCUGCAUGGUGGGGGUUGGAAAGUUUCGGCGGUUGGGGAUGGACUCGCGGCUUAUCAGCUUGUUGGUGGGGUAGUGGCUUACCAAGGCUUUGACGGGUAGCCGGCCUGGGAGGGUGACCGGCCACAUUGGGACUGCGGUACGGCCCAGACUCCUACGGGAGGCAGCAGUGGGGAAUAUUGCACAAUGGGCGGGAGCCUGAUGCAGCAGCGCCGCGGGCGGGAUGACGGCCUGCGGGUUGUAAACCGCUUUCGCCUGUGACGAAGCGUGAGUGACGGUAAUGGGUAAAGAAGCACCGGCUAACUACGUG
RNAcentral lists this ribosomal RNA (468 nucleotides) under uncultured bacterium. RNAcentral's name for it is "partial 16S ribosomal RNA". It matches the Rfam family "Bacterial small subunit ribosomal RNA", at positions 28 to 507 of the family's 1533-position model. The record is from RNAcentral.